This 295-nucleotide ribosomal RNA is filed under the name uncultured bacterium. RNAcentral describes it as "partial 16S ribosomal RNA". It matches the Rfam family "Bacterial small subunit ribosomal RNA", at positions 1210 to 1504 of the family's 1533-position model. The record is from RNAcentral.
GGGGCUACACACGUCAUACAAUGGCUGGUACAGAGGGUUGCCAACCCGCGAGGGGGAGCCAAUCCCACAAAGCCAGUCGUAGUCCGGAUCGCAGUCUGCAACUCGACUGCGUGAAGUCGGAAUCGCUAGUAAUCGCGAAUCAGAAUGUCGCGGUGAAUACGUUCCCGGGUCUUGUACACACCGCCCGUCACACCAUGGGAGCGGGUCUCGCCAGAAGUAGGUAGCCUAACCGCAAGGAGGGCGCUUACCACGGCGGGGUUCGUGACUGGGGUGAAGUCGUAACAAGGUAGCCGUA